GUUAGGAAUAUUGGACAAUGGGCGAAAGCCUGAUCCAGCCAUGCCGCGUGUGUGAAGAAGGCCUUAGGGUUGUAAAGCACUUUCAUCUGCGAAGAUAAUGACAGUAACAGAAGAAGAAGCUCCGGCUAAAUUCGUGCCAGCAGCCGCGGUAAUACGAAUGGAGCGAGCGUUGUUCGGAAUCACUGGGCGUAAAGCGUGCGCAGGCGGUCAUGAAAGUUAGAAGUGAAAUCCCAGGGCUUAACCUUGGAAUGGCUUUUAAAACUCCAUGACUGGAGUACUGGAGAGGUUGGCGGAAUUCCGAGUGUAGAGGUGAAAUUCGCAGAUAUUCGGAGGAACACCAAUGGCGUAGGCAGCCAACUGGACAGUAACUGACGCUCAUGCACGAAAGCGUGGGGAGCAAACAGGAUUAGAAACCCCUGUAGUCC
RNAcentral lists this ribosomal RNA (425 nucleotides) under uncultured bacterium. Its description in RNAcentral is "partial 16S ribosomal RNA". It matches the Rfam family "Bacterial small subunit ribosomal RNA", at positions 354 to 796 of the family's 1533-position model. The record is from RNAcentral.